UCGAGAAUCAUUCGCAAUGGGCGAAAGCCUGACCCAGCAACGCCGCGUGAAGGAUGAAGUAUUUCGGUAUGUAAACUUCGAAAGAAUAGGAAGAAUAAAUGACGGUACUAUUUAUAAGGUCCGGCUAACUACGUGCCAGCAGCCGCGGUAAUACGUAGGGACCAAGCGUUGUUCGGAUUUACUGGGCGUAAAGGGCGCGUAGGCGGCAAUUCAAGUCAUCUGUGAAAUCUCCGGGCUUAACUCGGAACGGUCAGAUGAUACUGCUUUGCUAGAGUGCAGAAGGGGCAAUCGGAAUUCUUGGUGUAGCGGUGAAAUGCGUAGAUAUCAAGAGGAACACCUGAGGUGAAGACGGGUUGCUGGGCUGACACUGACGCUGAGGCGCGAAAGCCAGGGGAGCAAACGGGAUUAGAUACCCCCGUAGUCCCUGAGCGGGCUGGCAAGGCGCAU
RNAcentral lists this ribosomal RNA (447 nucleotides) under uncultured bacterium. Its description in RNAcentral is "bacterial SSU rRNA". It matches the Rfam family "Bacterial small subunit ribosomal RNA", at positions 355 to 825 of the family's 1533-position model. The record is from RNAcentral.